GACGAACGCUGGCGGCGUGCUUAACACAUGCAAGUCGAACGAUGAACCUCGAAAUGAUUUCUUCGGAAAGAUUUUUGAGAGGAUUAGUGGCGAACGGGUGAGUAACGCGUGAGCAACCUGCCUUAGACAAGGGGAUAGCCUCGGGAAACCGUGAUUAAUACCCUAUGAGACUCCACUUACGAGUGUAAGAGAAGGUAAAGCUAUUGCGGUCUAGGAUGGGCGCGCGUCUGAUUAGCUAGUUGGUGAGAUAAAAGCCCACCAAGGCGACGAUCAGUAACCGGCAUGAGAGAGUGAACGGUCACAUUGGAACUGGGACACGGUCCAAACUCCUACGGGAGGCAGCAGUGGGGAAUAUUGCACAAUGGGGGCAACCCUGAUGCAGCGACGCCGCGUGAGCGAUGAAGGAAUUCGUUUAGUAAAGCUCUGUCAUUGGAGAAGAUAAUGACGGUAACCAAGGAGGAAGCACCGGCUAAAUACGUG
RNAcentral lists this ribosomal RNA (480 nucleotides) under uncultured bacterium. Its description in RNAcentral is "partial 16S ribosomal RNA". It matches the Rfam family "Bacterial small subunit ribosomal RNA", at positions 28 to 507 of the family's 1533-position model. The record is from RNAcentral.